CGAAUGCAGCCCAGUGUCAGUAUCUUGUUUUUACAAUUUCAAAAUUGAAUUGAGGGUAAAUUCUUGGUUUCAUUAAUCAUUUCAUUUGACACAAUUUUGGGCAUAUAUGUGAUAACACUAUUGGUACUCUUGCAGUAAAGCACAUGCUUUUACAGAGUCAUUCUGAUAUUUUUUUUGUACGAUAAGUGCAGGUUGAAAAGGGUCCAUCUAUUAAUUGACACUAAAUUUUGCUGAGGUAAAUAGCAAGGGAGAGUAUCUCAGUAAAUCUGUCAACAUUCAAAGUCUGCAAACAUUGAUUGUCCUUGCUGCAGUCAAUUAUGUCUCAAGUAAGACAACCGAAACUUCACAACUGAUUUUAACUGUUCCUUCAAUCCCUUCACACAGUAACAGUUGAGAGUUGCCAUGAUCUCGUUAAUUGUGGAAAUUGUUAGUUGUUCUGCAUCUUUUAUAACGGUGAUAUCCAGGUAGCUUGAUCGUACCUCGACUAAUUGUUUGUUAUUCUAGAUCUUCGUACUAAUUUUCUUGAUUUUGCUUUACGUUAACGACACUGAGGAACAACUUGAGGCCGCACAAUGAUAUUCUCCUUCUCUAGUCGAUUGGUUUCUAAAUAGAAACAGAUCUAAGAUUUAUAAUCAUUAGAUUAUAUUACUACUAUAUAUAUAUAUAUGAUUUGAGCCAAAACCUAUGGGUGCAGAACCCAUGAUGCUGAAGGCUAGAUCCGUCUGUCUAUUUGUACAUAAUUCGUAUAGUUUAACUGAAGUAUGAAUCUGUUUGUCAAUUUAACAUAAAUCAUUGUCAAUUGCCUAUACCUCAAAUCAGAAUGUUUUGUAAUAUUUUUUAAGAAUGUUACUAUAAGUAAAAGCGUUAAAUUUAAGUUGUAUCUAUUUUUAGAGAACCAUUAAUUUAUUUUAGAAGAUAAAUUAUUUGGUAUACGAGGAAAUGAGCUCGAUAAGAGUAUAGUUGGUCCUGAUUAGUUUGGGAUUGAAAUGUGUUUUGAUUAUUUUGAUUGAUAUAUAAUCCCAAAGUGUUAAUUGUUUGCGGAUAGCGAGGUUAAGGGAAAUGAACCAUUAGAAAAUUCAAAAUUUUACCUCUACUAUGAACUAGAAAAUGAACAAAGAAAUACAAACCACGGCGAGAUAUUUCUUGCUUAAUUGAUAACUAGCAUUAACCUACACCUUGAUUUUCCGGUCUAAAUAAAAGAAAGUAGGAGACACAAGAGCUGGCUUGGUGUCUGUCAUCCUUAUUCAGUACUUGAUUGCUAUUGCUGGAUUUCUCAUCUUAACCACCUUCUCAAAUCAGUGGUUGAACAAGGAGAAAUUUCUCCACCAAGGCUGUCGGUGUAACACGAAUAGUUUGAUUGUUGUUCCAUCCCCAUAUAGGCAGCUUGAAGACUUUUGAAACUAGGACUUCUCAAGUUCUGACUAUAGCCAUAGGUAGCAUUAAGAGAAUACGGCUCAGGAAUUGGGUAAGAGAGACGUUUUUUAACCGACCCAACCCUUUCUCUUUCUGGCGUAGAUGGCCUUUGUUUUGGCGUGCUUUGUGAACGAAUCCGAGCUUUUGCAGACUCAGUAGCAGCCAUAUAAUUAGGAACUGCAGCAGCUGCAUCAUUUCCUGAAGUGCUAUAUCGGGACAUUAUACUAUUUGAACGGGUAGUGGAGCGUAGGCAUGGAGUGUUUGCAGUUGAUUGGCUUUUACGUGGGCUUGUUGGGCGCAUUUGGAGAGGUUUUGGUUGACAAGGGGGUGGGGUAGCUGGUGGUUGAAUUGUGGAGUAAUUGUAAUGUGAUGGUCUCUGGUGAUGGGGAGAAUUAGCAGCACAAUGAGGACUACUAGCUUGUCUGUGAAGCGGACUCGAGUGGUGUGAUCUUCGAGCAUUUGGAACCAUGUUAGAAUAGGACUUAGCCGUGUCCAUCUCAACAGUCUUUAUAGAGUCUCUUCUGUCAAAUGAACCUCUGCUGCUGGCAGUGUUCCAUUGUUUGGACGACAUCCAAUCAUCCAGCCAAUUUGCUGUUUCUUCUAGUUCCCUCUCAUUUCUUUCUUCACUGCCAAGAUCCAUCUCAUCCCAUACCUAUACGUAAAAUACUUUAAGUAAUUGAGUGCUUACUUCUUGAAAGAAUAGAAUGUGAAUUCAUGUUUAACACAAGAACUAACAGAAAGUUCAACCUGUUGAGUAAAAGCAUGAGCAAGGGAUUUUUCCCUAUUAAAGGCAGCUUCUUUUCUGGCUUGUAACAUUGAUUCCAGCUCUAGAAGCGAUCUCGGGCAAUCUCUCCAAUCAUCAGCAAUGGAGCUUCCAUCUCUAGACUGUAGUUAGUACAAAAAAUUUACUGUCAGAGAUUAGUUAGGAGGUUCUGAGUGUUAUGUUUAUUUUUAUUUUUUUAUUAAGAGACUCGACUAAUCCCGGGGGUACACAGGCCCUCGGCAAGGAGUUUCCCGCAAGUGCAACACGGUUCUGAGUGUUAUGUUUAUUACACUACCUAAGGUGGAAAGUAGAGCUUACUCUGGACUUCCUGUCUCGGAUGUCAUGAAGAUAUUUAGAGUCCCAUAAGUUAGUGGUUUCAGCAAACAUAGACCUGCGGCCUCCAUCAUGUGAAAGGCGAGUACGUUGUUCGCGAACUCGAGCCUGCACCCUAAGCAGAGCUUGCAUACAUUUCAGUGUCAUCUUUGCUUGCUUCCUGACGUUUUGACCCCUUAUUAAUGCUUGUAGCUUCACUAUCCCCUUCAAUGCAAUUAGUGCCCUCCUAGCCUGCACCAAGAAAUUAAGUAAUCGACUGCUUCACAUGACAGCUAAAUAAUUAACCAGUACAUCUAUAAAUAUUCAACAUUCCAAUGCAUGACUUGUGAUCAAUUCAAUAUGGUCCUCAAUCUAACGCUAGCUACUGUCACCCCUGAAUUAAGCACUUAUGGUAACUACUAGCUCCUGACUGCUUUCUCCUUUCAAAAUGCUAGACUGGUAUUUUUACUAAUUCUCUCCGGUUUUAAAUUUUAAAAUCACUAAAUUUUAUAGGAUCACAUUGACUUUUCCGUAAACACCUAUCUCUGAAUUUUAUUUUCUUCAGCACAGGUCAAAAUCUGGAUGGAGAGCUUUGGAGCAACAGUAAAGUUGUCGUUCAAGCGGUAGAACCAGCUAUUAAUGCUUGCAUUAGGUAAACUGUCUAUAUCACAUCCCUUGAGGUGCGGCCCUUCCCUGGACCAUGUGUGAACUCGGAAUGCCUUGUGCACGGCUGCCCUUUAGCACAAGUCAAAAUCUGAUGAUGGAGUCAACAAUAUAUAUCUUCACAUGUUUCUGAACAAAUGGUAAACCGUUCAUAUUUUUACAUAACUUGUAUCAUAACAAUCGUGCCAGUACAUAUAAAUGGUGACAGAAGGGAGUUAAUACAACAAAAAAAUAUCAUUUUCUUGGUUGAAGAAAACUUGUAGCAUAACCUUGAAAUAGCUCACUUACCAGAUAUCCUCUGAAUGCAGUUUGGAUGAGUAUAGCAGCAUUGUGUUGCCUGUUUGAGGAAGGUGGAUUAUUUGAGGAUCGUGUCAACCGUAUGAUUUCAACUGCUGCUUGAGCUGUGGCCACGGCAGCUUCAGCUGCUGCUGUUGCUGCGGCCACUGCAAUUGCAUGCUUUGGAUCAGUAAUUACCUUCCCUUCAGUUUGUUGACCAUUUUGUGGCUGUUUUCUGAACAACCACCUUCUCUUCUCUCUUUUCUGUACAUGGUACACCAAUUAAGAGUCCAUAUAGUGUAUAUACAAGUAAUGCACUAGGAUUAAUUUUGUUGAAAUAGUAAGCAAAAUUACCUUUUCUUCA
RNAcentral lists this long non-coding RNA (3791 nucleotides) under Nicotiana tabacum (common tobacco). RNAcentral describes it as "long non-coding RNA (NTAB_LNC004854)". The record is from RNAcentral. Lineage: Eukaryota; Viridiplantae; Streptophyta; Magnoliopsida; Solanales; Solanaceae.